UGUCUUCCCUGUUUAUUACACUUGUACUUUUUAUAACUUGCUUUUUAAUUACAAAAUUAUUUUUAAACAUAAUAUUGCACAGAUUCUACACACAUGAAUAAUAAUAAAUAAAGAAAUGGGUACUAAUGUCAUUUUUACCAAAGUAACUAUAGUGAAUUACCAAACCUUCUUAAAGCAAGGAAUUUCGUGAUAGCUUCCAAACUUUUUGAAACUUAGAAAGUUCUCGACACAUCUAUGAUAUGGCGGAGAUUCCUUGCUGACAUUUAUAUUCCAUUUAUUUUGACUUUGGAGCUGUGAAGAAAGAUAUGUUUACUUGACUUUUUCUCCGUUUUUCUUAAUUAGUUUCUCGCUUAACAUUUAUCGAAGAAUAUUUCAGUCAAUGUUAUCUCAAAUUCUACAAAAAUUUCUAUCAACCUAAGAAGGAAAAAAAAAAAUGUAUAAUUGGGAUAAAACGGAUGAAAGUUUGGUCAAUCAAAUGUGUUUUUGUUGUAUAUCUCCAAGAUUCGUUCCUGCAACAUUUUCAACUUUCCAGUCUGCAGAAGAAACAAAACCAGGUAUCCCUUGUGAUGGGUUAUUGGAUACAGUCAUUCCAAAGCAAAUUGAAAGUAAUUCCAACACUGUAACUAAGCAACCAAUGGAAAGAAAUUUGGUACCUGGCCAGAAUACUAUGCUAGUGUGUUCCCCCAAUGCUCUUCACACAGCUGCCAUAACUGGAGACUAUGCAGAACUGGCAAGACUCUUACACUCGAACACUUUCCCUAUUGAUGGUAUUGAUCAGUUUGGUCGCACUCCACUCAUGUACUGUGUGUUAGCAGAUCGACCUCAUUGUGCCAAACUUUUGCUUAAGGCAGGUUCCAAUGUUAACAUUAAAGAUAAAGGUGGCCGUACAGCUCUGCAUGGAGCUGCGCAUAAGGGUAAUUUUCGUCUAUUGAAAUUACUCUUAUCAAGAAAUGCAAACUGCCGUGAGAAAGACAAUGAAGGUCAAACUGCGAUGCAUUUAUGCACCAGGCACAAGUCUUUAAAGAGUCUGACACUUUUACUAAAACAAUUGACACCUGGGGAAAUAGAUGAUCAAGAUAAAUACAAGAGAACAGCACUUCACAGAGCAGCAUCCUAUGGCAAUAUUGAUCAUGUAAAGAUGCUUAUUAAACAAGGAUCCAAUAUCAGCAUUCCAGACAGUGAAGGUAAAACUCCCCUCCAUUGGGCUGCUAGCAGUAGAGACCCCACAGCUGUCUCCUGCGUUAAAGUGCUUCUUGAAACUGCUCCUAGUGUAAUCAAUUGGCAGGAUUAUGAGGGGAGAACAGCCUUACAUUUAGCUGUAGCAGAUGGCAAUGAAGCAGUUGUCAAAGUACUGACUUCUUUUGAGACGUGUAAUGUAUCACAACUAGAUAACAAUUUUCGAACAGCUCUGCACUGGGCAGCUGACCUUGGUCACUCACAAAUCAUCAGUAUUUUACUGGACAAUGGUGCUGAUUAUGCUUGUUCAGACUCCAACAGUGCUACUCCACUUCACUAUGCUGCCAAAAACAAUUGUGCUCAAACAGUUGAGGUUUUCCUUUCUCGAAAGAAUGUCACUGAUGAACCAGAUGUUGAAGGUCACACAGCAUUCAUGUGGGCUGCUGGAAAAGGAGCUGACGAAGUUAUAAAAACCUUUAUUAAGUAUAAUGUAGAUAUCCAGCAAGUUGAUAAGAAUAAUGAAACAGCUCUACAUGCAGCAGCCCUCUCAGGUCACUCUUCUACAGUUCAGCUUCUUUUGGAAAAUGGGGCUCACAUCAAUGGAACAAAUUUGAUGAAACAUACACCUUUAUUGCGUGCCUGUGAGAUGGGUCAUACAGAUGUUGUUCAAUGUUUGAUAGAAUGGGAUGCCAGGGUGGAUAUGUUUGACCAGGAUGGCCAUUCUCCAUUACACUGGGCAGCUCUUGGAGGACAUGCAAAUAUCUGCCAGAUUCUCAUAAGCUAUGGCAUUGAACCAAACAGUCAAGACCGCUUAGGGAGAACCGCAUUACAAUGUGCUGCAUAUGGUGGUUUUGUAAAUUGCAUGUCCAUGUUGAUGGAACAUAUGGCUGACCCUAACGUACAAGACUUCGAGGGGAAAACUGCCACUCAUUGGGCCUGUAGGCGUGGUCAUCUGGAUGCUGUGAAACUUUUAAUGCAAUAUGGAGCCUUACCAAAUUAUAUGGAUUUCACUGAAGAUCGGUACACACCCCUUGACUAUGCAUUGAUGGAGGAACACCAUGAUGUAGCUCAGUACAUGAUUGAACAAGGAGCAUUAUCAAUUAUUGGCAUCCAAGAUAUUGCAGCACAGAAAAUACAGUCUUCCUUUCGGGGUUAUCGUGUCCGGAAGACUUUCACAGAGAGAAAACGUCUUCUUAUGAAACAUGAACAGCUAAAGAAAGAAGUGGCCAGAAAACGAGCUGAAGAAGAAGGUAAAAAGAAAGAUGACCGACCAACUCCUUCAGAUGGAGAAAUAUGAUGCAGGACUAUUUUUUUGGUCCUUGUACUUUCUUAAAUUUGUAUGGCUCAACUAAUUCUGAAAUUCAGAAUGAAAAAUAAUAAUCUCCAGUAGGGAAAAAAAAUGAAUCUCAAGUUCUUCCAAUCAUUUCUGAUUUGAUAUCAUUGUUGCUGUUAUGGCUAAAACACUACAAUACCUGAAAUGAUUCACAAAUUUUACCAGCAUUCUUUUGUAAACAUCAUUUUGAAAUGUUUUGUUUCAAAAUGAAACAAAAACUUAACUCAAUAUUAUUAUUUCAAGUUUUUAAUUUAAUGCAGUAUUGUACAGCAACUGGCAUUCAUAAAUAUUUGGAUGGUCAGUUUUUUUUCUUGCCAAAUAAGUCUUCAGCAGCCCCCAUGGACUAGGCGGAGCAGGAAGAUACAUGAGGAUGGAAAGGGUCGCUGAAGAGGUCACAGAUGUGUGACAAAAGGUUUCCAGACAAUGAACAGAAUAUAAAAUUGAGAACAAUAAUAAAUGAGUGAAAAAUGAAUAUAUAAGUGCAUAUGUUUAUUUAGCAAGAAGAAAAAAAAUGACCACCCUGAAACAUAGCAAUACCAUAUAUAUAUAUAUAUAUAUAUAUAUAUAUAUAUAAUGUACACACACACACACAUAUCAUCAUUAUCAACACCACCAUUACUCUCACUUAACAUCCAUUUUCCAUAGAAACUUGUAUUUUCAGUAUUCUGCAAUCACAUGGCUCACUCCACUAUGUUCUUGAUUCCCUUCUUUCAAAUAUGCUCCUGCAAUAACACUCCUAACAUAUCUUUCCAUAACUCUCUGUGUCAUAGCCAGUUGUUGUUCUCUCUUCAUCAUAGUCUCAUAUCUCAUUUGCUUACAAGAGCCAUGAACUGGAUGAGGCUAUUGAGGAGAUUAGCAGGCAAACUCUUGUCCAGCUAUGUUUUGAACACAUCUUAGAUUGUGGCAUAUGCCUUCCAUCCACUAUUUUGCAUGAGAUUUCAGUAUUUGUAACUUGGUUUAUAUUUACUGCCUGUCGUCAGCAAACAUAUUCUUUCAUCUCCUCCGUUUCAUCAUAUACUUGUAGACUUGGUUACAAAGUACAUACAUACUCCUUAUGGUACAUCAUAAGCUUUAGUGAAGGAAUUUUCACUUGAAGGACUCGAUAGAAGGGCUCAAUAAAAUAUUCACUAUUUGGGUAGGCAAUACUGUUUCAAAUUUUGGCACAAGGCCAGCAGGAAAGUCAAUUAUAUCAAUCCCAGUACUUGACUAUUUGAAUUGUAUUGCAUUUUAUUGACCCCCAAAAGGAUGAAAGGUAAACUCAACCCAAACGGAAUUUGAACUCAGAACAUAGAGUUCACAAUAAUUGCUGCUAAGUAUUUUGUGAUGUGCAAAUGCUUCUGCCAGCAUGCUGCCUUGUAACAUGUAAAUAAUAAUAAUAAUAACAAUAACAACAACGAAGUAGAACAAAAAGUAAAUAAUUUAUUGAAGGUAAUUUACAGAGGACUGAAAAAAAAAUGUAGUUGAACAAAUUGUUAUAAGUACAGUCAAACAAUUGCACAUACACUUAUAGCAAACCUAAAGACAGGUUGAAGAAAACGUAUUCA
Octopus bimaculoides (California two-spot octopus) is the source of this 4053-nucleotide unclassified non-coding RNA. NCBI's taxonomy places the organism in Eukaryota, Metazoa, Mollusca, Cephalopoda, Octopoda, Octopodidae. The record is from RefSeq and is a predicted model, not a curated record.